Molecule: long non-coding RNA, 247 nt
Filed under: Callithrix jacchus (white-tufted-ear marmoset)
Lineage: Eukaryota; Metazoa; Chordata; Mammalia; Primates; Cebidae
Description: lncRNA (ENSCJAG00000075529.1)
Source: RNAcentral
AUACCCACAAGCCAGCCUUUUAAAGGCUGAAGUACUCACAGGUUGAGCGGAAUAGCUGAGCUGAGGAGGGACUCCUUGAUUACUGGAUGCUACGACAGGAUUCCCAGGGAGACAUUUCCAAACAGCAAAAGGACAAUGUUCUCUUCUAGAGGAGCUAGAAGACGCAGGUCUAACCACGGAGCAGCCUUCUCUAGGUCAAAUGCCUGGGAGAGCAGCUCUGAAACCUUUGUUGGGGAACUUCCAAGAA